CCUACGGGUGGCAGCAGUGAGGAAUAUUGGUCAAUGGCCGGAAGGCUGAACCAGCCAAGUCGCGUGAGGGACGAAUGUCCUAUGGGUUGUAAACCUCUUUUAUAAGGGAAGAAUAAAUGCUACGUGUAGCAUGAUGCCUGUACCUUACGAAUAAGCAUCGGCUAACCUCGUGCCAGCAGCCGCGGUAAUACGGAGGAUGCGAGCGUUAUCCGGAUUUAUUGGGUUUAAAGGGUGCGUAGGCGGUUUUUUAAGUUAGUGGUUAAACGUCGGGGCUUAACCAUGACUGGCCAUUGAUACUGGAAGACUCGAGUUCGGACGAGGUAGGCGGAAUAAGUUGAGUAGCGGUGAAAUGCUUAGAUAUAACGUAGAACUCCGAUGGCGAAGGCAGCUUACCGGACUGCGACUGACGCUGAGGCACGAGAGCGUGGGGAGCGAACAGGAUUAGAUACCCGUGUAGUC
RNAcentral lists this ribosomal RNA (459 nucleotides) under uncultured bacterium. Its description in RNAcentral is "partial 16S ribosomal RNA". It matches the Rfam family "Bacterial small subunit ribosomal RNA", at positions 338 to 795 of the family's 1533-position model. The record is from RNAcentral.